UAGGAAUAAGAUGGGAAAGGAGGACAGUUAGACUAGUGUAACCCUACAAAUGUUUGGGUCUUAAACAUGCUGUGUAUUAUAUGAUUUUUGCAGCAACUCUCUGUCUAUAAAAUCUCAAAAUCCAGAACACAGUCCUGCUAAAAGUGCUGUCCUCAUCUGGAAAUUAAGUGAAAGAAGGGAAUGGGAAAAUGCUUCACUACUGUAAAAGAAGCUACUAAACAACAGGAACACAAGAGGUUAGAUAAUUUUCUUCGAUUCUCUUUCUGGUCAAAAUUGUUCUGGAGAUAUGGAAAUGAAAGUCAUAGUAGUUUUAUCCUCUUCUAAAUCAUUUAGGUAUGCACUGAGUGUUUCAGACUGAAUUCUCUAAUUCUUGUUAAUAUAUUCUGGGGCCAAUUCUGUUCAACGGUUUUUUUUUUUUUUCAGUGAUCUAGAUGCAGAGCUGGAGUGCAUCCUCAGUAAAUUUGCUGUUUUCAUUAAACUGUUGACUCCUGGUGGAAUGAGAGGUCUCACAGAGGGUUCUAGAUAAACAGGAGCACCAGGCCAUCAGCAACAGCAUGGAGUUCAAUGACAGAAUGUGUGGGAAUGGCACAAAGCUGCAACAGAGGAAGUUCAGACUGAGCAUUAGGAAACAUUUAUUUUCCAUGAUGGUGGUCAAACACUGAAGCAGGAUUCCUAAAAUGUUGGUUGAUGCCUCAUGGCGGUCCAUGAGUGUUCAAGAGACAUUUGCACAAUGUUCUCAUUAAUAAAUUUUAACUUUUGGUUGAAGAAGUCA
This 772-nucleotide long non-coding RNA is filed under the name Numida meleagris (helmeted guineafowl). RNAcentral describes it as "lncRNA (ENSNMEG00000004031.1)". Lineage: Eukaryota; Metazoa; Chordata; Aves; Galliformes; Numididae. The record is from RNAcentral.